AACUUUCCCCCCUAAAUUUGGUACCCUCAAAACACCCAAGUGUUUCUCUCUGCCACCACCGUCUUCAUUAUCAUCUUCCCCUCUCUCCCUCUUUUUGCAUAAAUCUCAGAAGUGAUACUGUUGUUUUUACUUGAAAGUAAGCAUAUCAUAGCUUAAAUGAUCUAUCAUUUCCAUCGUGCGUUAAGCUAUCAUAACUACCAUUGAUGUUAGAUUGGAUUGUCUUAAGCUUAGACCUUUUUCGAAUUUUCCCUCUCAACUACUCUCUCUCAAUCUCUCUUCUUCUUCAACUGUUUGGCUCUUUUAUUGUUCCUCAUUAGAUCCAAUUUCUAAUUUCAAAGGACUUUCCUUUUUGUGAAACGCUUGCAAAACUCUACUUUUAUCCACUCUUCUUCAUUAAUUUUUCUUUUUUUGUGUGCUUAAUCUUGAAGAAGGGAUAAAACCCUAGAAAAAAAUUGGGGAAUCCACGAGAAUGAUCGAUGUGGAGAAGCUGAUAUCUUACAGUGACGACCUGGUGGACGUUUUGAACGACAUUAACAACUUGACGCAGUGUUUUCAGCACUUUAACGAUCUCCGCUCGCAUUGCGACGCUGAUUCCAACGAGGUUCAUCGAUUGCUUCGAGAAUAUGAGGAAAAGAUAGAAGCUUGCAAGAAGAAAACAGAACAGGCAAAAUUUGAGGUUGCUGAUGGUACUGAAAUGGAGAGUAUCUGCAGAAGGAAUACCAAGAAGAGCUUGAAAAAGAACGUGGACUUGAAGAGGAGCUUAGAUAAGUAUAUGACUUUUGAUAUAUAUAUAUUUAAUGUUUUGGUGUUAUGGUGUUUGAUUGAUUUGUUAACUCUUAUUUUAUAAGAACACAGCUGUUAGCAAUGAGAUAAUUGAACUAGAGCGCCAGAGGGUUUCUAUUGAAGAACGCAAGAAAAACCUAAGGAAAUAUGAGUAAGACAAACUCAAAGAACACCAAGAGAAGGAAGAAUCUCGGGUUUCAGAUUUUAAGCCAUGCUUCCAAUAAUGUGUUAGAUGGGCUGAACAUGUUUGAUGGAACUGAUGGUCAUUACUUCUACACGGGGUUAAGGGGUCACCACUCGGUGUCGGAUUCUCAUCUUUUUAAUUAUGGAAGCUGAGAAGUACUGAGGUAUCUUCUUUCAAAUGCAAGAUGGUGGCCGGAGGAGUAUAAGUUUGAUGGGUACAAAUUUGAUGGUGUGACUUCAAUGAUGUACAAGAUUUCCUUGAUUAAGUAAAUAUAUUAUAUCUUUUAUUACCAAGAUUUACUUGAUUAAGAAAAUGCAUUGUAUGUUUUAUUAUCUUGCAUAUGUAUUAUUUAUUUUAGUUUUGAUUCUAAAUUUUUAUUUUUACUUAAGAGUUCUAACUUUUGAAUUUUAAUUGUGUUAUUAAUUCAUUAUUUUAAAUUCUAAAUUUAAAUUCAUUAAUUUUUA
This is an RNA transcript of Gossypium raimondii (Peruvian cotton), 1431 nucleotides long. RefSeq lists it as uncharacterized. The transcript has 5 exons. The record is from RefSeq and is a predicted model, not a curated record. Lineage: Eukaryota; Viridiplantae; Streptophyta; Magnoliopsida; Malvales; Malvaceae.